GACGAACGCUGGCGGCGUGCUUAACACAUGCAAGUCGAACGGAAAGGCCCUGCUUUUGUGGGGUGCUGGAGUGGAGAACGGGGGAGUAACACGUGAGUAACCUGCCCUUUACUUUGGGAUAACUUCAGUAAACUGGGGCUAAUAUCGGAUAUGAGCACCUGAUGCACGGUGUGUGUUGGAAAGUUUCGGCGUUUUGGGAUGGAGAGGCGGUUAAGCAGCGUGUUGGUUGGGUGGUGGGUUACCAAGGCUUGGAGGGGUAGCCAGCCUGAGAGGGUGACCGGCCACAUUGGGACAGAGAAACGGGCAGGACUGAUACGGGAGGAAGCAGUGGGGAAUAGAGCAAGAUGGGCGGCAGCCUGAUGCAGCGACUUCGCGUGCUGGAUGACGGCUUGCGGGGUGUAACCCGCGUUCGACUGUGAAGAAGAGUGAGUGACGGUAAUGGGUAAGGAAGCAACGGCUAACUACGUG
This 468-nucleotide ribosomal RNA is filed under the name uncultured bacterium. RNAcentral's name for it is "partial 16S ribosomal RNA". It matches the Rfam family "Bacterial small subunit ribosomal RNA", at positions 28 to 507 of the family's 1533-position model. The record is from RNAcentral.